Molecule: ribosomal RNA, 768 nt
Filed under: uncultured bacterium
Lineage: Bacteria
Description: bacterial SSU rRNA
Rfam family: Bacterial small subunit ribosomal RNA
Source: RNAcentral
GAUGAACGCUGGCGGCGUGCCUAAUACAUGCAAGUCGAGCGAAGUUUUUCUGGUGCUUGCACUAGAAAAACUUAGCGGCGAACGGGUGAGUAACACGUAAAGAACCUGCCUCAUAGACUGGGACAACUAUUGGAAACGAUAGCUAAUACCGGAUAACAGUAUUUCUCGCAUGAGAGAUAUUUAAAAGUUGGUUAUGCUAACACUAUGAGAUGGCUUUGCGGUGCAUUAGCUAGUUGGUGGGGUAAAGGCCCACCAAGGCGACGAUGCAUAGCCGACCUGAGAGGGUGAUCGGCCACACUGGGACUGAGACACGGCCCAGACUCCUACGGGAGGCAGCAGUAGGGAAUCUUCCGCAAUGGGCGAAAGCCUGACGGAGCAACGCCGCGUGAGUGAAGAAGGAUUUCGGUUCGUAAAGCUCUGUUGUUAGGGAAGAAUGGAUAUGUAGUAACUAUACAUGUAAGAGACGGUACCUAACCAGAAAGCCACGGCUAACUACGUGCCAGCAGCCGCGGUAAUACGUAGGUGGCAAGCGUUGUCCGGAAUUAUUGGGCGUAAAGCGCGCGCAGGUGGUUUAAUAAGUCUGAUGUGAAAGCCCACGGCUCAACCGUGGAGGGUCAUUGGAAACUGUUAAACUUGAGUGCAGGAGAGAAAAGUGGAAUUCCUAGUGUAGCGGUGAAAUGCGUAGAGAUUAGGAGGAACACCAGUGGCGAAGGCGGCUUUUUGGCCUGUAACUGACACUGAGGCGCGAAAGCGUGGGGAGCAAACAGG